This 497-nucleotide ribosomal RNA is filed under the name uncultured bacterium. Its description in RNAcentral is "bacterial SSU rRNA". It matches the Rfam family "Bacterial small subunit ribosomal RNA", at positions 8 to 507 of the family's 1533-position model. The record is from RNAcentral.
AGAGUUGAUCAUGGCUCAGGAUGAACGCUAGCGGGAGGCCUAACACAUGCAAGCCGAGCGGUAGAGAUUCUUCGGAAUCUUGAGAGCGGCGUACGGGUGCGGAACACGUGUGCAACCUACCUUUAUCUGGAGGAUAGCCUUUCGAAAGGAAGAUUAAUACUCCAUAAUAUAUUGAUUGGCAUCAAUUGAUAUUGAAAGCUCCGGCGGAUAGAGAUGGGCACGCGCAAGAUUAGUUAGUUGGUGAGGUAACGGCUCACCAAGACGAUGAUCUUUAGGGGCCUGAGAGGGUGAUCCCCCACACUGGUACUGAGACACGGACCAGACUCCUACGGGAGGCAGCAGUGAGGAAUAUUGGUCAAUGGGUGCAAGCCUGAACCAGCCAUCCCGCGUGAAGGACGACUGCCCUAUGGGUUGUAAACUUCUUUUGUAUAGGGAUAAACCUACCCUCGUGAGGGUAGCUGAAGGUACUAUACGAAUAAGCACCGGCUAACUCCGUG